AACACUGUUAACCUGCGGUACCUGCGGAAGGAUCAUUACAGAGUUGCAAGACUCCCUAAACCAUUGUGAACCUACCUUCUACCGUUGCUUCGGCGGGCGGGCCCAGCGCCCCCCCCGGCCCCCCGCGGGCGCCCGCCGGAGGAUACCCAAACUCUUGACAUUAGUGGCCUCUCUGAGUAUUCUUUACUGAAUAAGUCAAAACUUUCAACAACGGAUCU
This 218-nucleotide unclassified non-coding RNA is filed under the name soil metagenome. RNAcentral describes it as "partial contains 5.8S ribosomal RNA, internal transcribed spacer 2, and large subunit ribosomal RNA". The record is from RNAcentral.